GAUGAACGCUGGCGGCGUGCCUAAUACAUGCAAGUCGAACGAAACUUCUUUAUCACCGAGUGCUUGCACUCACCGAUAAAGAGUUGAGUGGCGAACGGGUGAGUAACACGUGGGCAACCUGCCCAAAAGAGGGGGAUAACACUUGGAAACAGGUGCUAAUACCGCAUAACCAUGGUUACCGCAUGGUAACUAUGUAAAAGGUGGCUAUACUACCGCUUUUGGAUGGGCCCGCGGCGCAUUAGCUAGUUGGUAGGGUAAAGGCUUACCAAGGCAAUGAUGCGUAGCCGAAUUGAGAGGUUGAUCGGCCACAUUGGGACUGAGACACGGCCCAAACUCCUACGGGAGGCAGCAGUAGGGAAUCUUCCACAAUGGGCGAAAGCCUGAUGGAGCAACGCCGCGUGGGUGAAGAAGGUCUUCGGAUCGUAAAACCCUGUUGUUAGAGAAGAAAGUGCGUGAGAGUAACUGUUCACGUUUCGACGGUAUCUAACCAGAAAGCCACGGCUAACUACGUG
RNAcentral lists this ribosomal RNA (512 nucleotides) under uncultured bacterium. RNAcentral's name for it is "partial 16S ribosomal RNA". It matches the Rfam family "Bacterial small subunit ribosomal RNA", at positions 28 to 507 of the family's 1533-position model. The record is from RNAcentral.